This 1568-nucleotide long non-coding RNA is filed under the name Chloebia gouldiae (Gouldian finch). RNAcentral describes it as "Erythrura gouldiae (Gouldian finch) lncRNA (ENSEGOG00005009244.1)". Lineage: Eukaryota; Metazoa; Chordata; Aves; Passeriformes; Passeridae. The record is from RNAcentral.
GUGCCAGCCCUCCUGGGGGCACUGGACAGGUCUCACCAUUUCUCUGCCAUCAUUUGCAUGGUGUGAUUCUCCCUUGAGCAGAGAGGGCAGAAAAUGAGGCAAGAGGGGGAGCUCAUUUUGUUUCUGCAAACUCCAGGCUUGGGGCAGCUGCAGAGCUCUUUGGGUUCAAAUAAUCCUGCCCAAAUACAUCAGCUUGGACCUCUCCUGAGCACUUUUGGAUCCCUCUGUGCCACUCCUCCUCUGAUCUUUUACCUGCGAGGUGUGGGCUCAGAAACAUCUGCCUACUGGAUGGGUUUUUACAUGUACAAAUUUAUUUUCUUAGAAAAGCCAUCAGGGGUAAUGAAAAUCUGUGGAGAACAGGUGGUUGGUACACCAGGUGAUGGUAGGUCUUGGGCUUUUCUUCUUCUUCUCUUUUUCUUUUCUUUAACCUGCUCUUCAGAGGACUCCUAAACUGGAAAACUGAAAGUUUGGGGCAGGGGGGAAAGUUGCUUUUCAUUUUUUAAGUGUUGCUGUGGGUUUUGGUAUGUAUAUAUUAUAUAUUAAAUAUAUAUUUAAGUGACCCUACCGAAACAGAAUUGGAAUAACUGAACUUCAGGACUCUGCACUUAAUUCUUUUAAUGCGUUUGUGUGGGUGCAGGCAAUGCCAAAUCCCAGAGCAAUUCUGUGUCUGUAACAUUCAGUGCAACAUCUUUAAAACCAAGUGCUCAGGGUGGGCUUUUCACGUGGAUGCAAACGGUCUCAAAGCCUUUCCUGUGCCCCAAAAGCCAGAAGGAGGCUGCCAGGAGCAGGCCUUCACUGCCUGUCUGGGAUUUCAGUUUGCUGCCGGAGUCUUCCCUCCAGUCUUCUCUCGGGUUUUUGUGCCAGAGGGGAUCUGACCCCGCAGCCACACAGGGCCUCUGUUGCCUUGGACAGGAGAAAUCAUUAAACUCCUCCCAUCUUUGCCAGAAGCUUCAGUGUUUAAGCAGCCAGAGCCAAGAGGCUUCAGCACCAGGGGUGUGCCCUGGAGGGCUCCUGGUCCUGCCCACGCUGUGGGGUAAGUCAGAGGGACACAGGGUUCCCCUUUUCCUCCCUGCUGGAAUGAACUGCCUCGGGAAUGCCAUUUCUGACAGCCCGGCCCCAGCCCUGUGUGCCGGGAAAGGGCAGCAGGGAAGAGGCACAUAAAUGCCAGAGUUCCUUGGGGAUGGUGGAGCUGGGCUGUUUGGCUGUGCCCAGAGGGGCAGGCUGGGCACUGUUUGUGCCCCCCAGGGCUGCUCUGGGUUCGGGAGCCCGGGGAGCCGAGCUCCCGGCGCAUUCCCAGCUCUGCGGCUGCUGCAGGGCCGGGUGACAGCCUCUGCUGGGGCUGGGGCAGAGCUGCAGGGGCAGGGCUGGCAGGAGGUGGGAGCAGAGGAGGAAAAUGAGGAACGCUGCUGGGCAGGGCUCAGCCUGUGCUCGUGUCAGCGCAGCCGUGCCGGGCGCCGGGAUCUGGGCACAGCUCCAGCUCUCCUGGGGCUCGGGGCUGCAAGGCCAGAGGGACUGGGAUUAUCUGUGGCUUCCCAGGCCGCCAGGAACACGGGAAUGUGGUGCCAGAG